AUUGAACGCUGGCGGCAUGCUUUACACAUGCAAGUCGAACGGCAGCACAGCAGAGGUAACUCUGUGGGUGGCGAGUGGCGAACGGGUGAGUAAUACAUCGGAACGUACCCUGUUGUGGGGGAUAACUACGCGAAAGCGUAGCUAAUACCGCAUACGCCCUGAGGGGGAAAGCGGGGGACCCUAAAUAGAGCGCACUGGGGAGUGCGUUGUAUUUAGGGCCUCGCGCAAUAGGAGCGGCCGAUGUCGGAUUAGCUAGUUGGUGAGGUAAAGGCUUACCAAGGCGACGAUCCGUAGCUGGUCUGAGAGGAUGAUCAGCCACACUGGGACUGAGACACGGCCCAGACUCCUACGGGAGGCAGCAGUGGGGAAUAUUGCACAAUGGCGCAAGCCUGAUGCAGCCAUGCCGCG
RNAcentral lists this ribosomal RNA (408 nucleotides) under uncultured bacterium. RNAcentral's name for it is "bacterial SSU rRNA". It matches the Rfam family "Bacterial small subunit ribosomal RNA", at positions 30 to 401 of the family's 1533-position model. The record is from RNAcentral.